RNAcentral lists this ribosomal RNA (500 nucleotides) under uncultured bacterium. RNAcentral describes it as "partial 16S ribosomal RNA". It matches the Rfam family "Bacterial small subunit ribosomal RNA", at positions 28 to 507 of the family's 1533-position model. The record is from RNAcentral.
GACGAACGCUGGCGGCGUGCUUAACACAUGCAAGUCGAACGGGCCUGUCUUCUUCUUUGGGGGGUGGGUUGAGUGGCGAACGGGUGAGUAUCACGUGAGUAACCUGCCCUUCGGUCCUGGAUAACCGCUUGAAAGGGCGGCUAAUACGGGGUGGUCCGGUUGGUCCGCAUGGGCUGGUCGGGAUAGAUUCACUGUUUUUGGUGUUUCGGCGGGGGAUGGGCUCGCGGCCUAUCAGCUUGUUGGUGGGGUGAUGGCCUACCAAGGCGGUGACGGGUAGCCGGCCUGAGAGGGUGGGCGGCCACACUGGGACUGAGAUACGGCCCAGACUCCUGCGGGAGGCAGCAGUGGGGGGUAUUGCACAAUGGGCGGAAGCCUGAUGCAGCGACGUCGCGUGAGGGAUGGAGGCCUUCGGGUUGUGAACCUCUGUUUCCGGUGGUGAAGGCCCUGUCCGUGUGGUGGGGUUGACGGUAGCCGGGGAUGAAGCGCCGGCUAACUACGUG